UACGUAGGGGGCAAGCGUUGUCCGGAUUUAUCGGGCGUAAAGAGCGUGUAGGCGGCUAGGUAGGUCCGCUGUGAAAACUCGAGGCUCAACCUCGAGACGUCGGUUGAAACCACCUGGCUAGAGUCCGGAAGAGGAGAGUGGAAUUCCCGGUGUAGCGGUGAAAUGCGCAGAUAUCGGGAAGAACACCCGUGGCGAAGGCGGCUCUCUGGGACGGUACUGACGCUGAGACGCGAAAGCGUGGGGAGCGAACAGG
RNAcentral lists this ribosomal RNA (253 nucleotides) under uncultured bacterium. Its description in RNAcentral is "partial 16S ribosomal RNA". It matches the Rfam family "Bacterial small subunit ribosomal RNA", at positions 524 to 776 of the family's 1533-position model. The record is from RNAcentral.